RNAcentral lists this ribosomal RNA (607 nucleotides) under uncultured fungus. RNAcentral describes it as "eukaryotic LSU rRNA". The stretch from base 231 to 380 matches the Rfam family "5.8S ribosomal RNA". Lineage: Eukaryota; Fungi. The record is from RNAcentral.
CUUGGUCAUUUAGAGGAAGUAAAAGUCGUAACAAGGUUUCCGUAGGUGAACCUGCGGAAGGAUCAUUAACAAAAUAUGUGAUGGGAUCAUUGAUUGGGGAUAGUAAUAUCUUCAGUCUUGAUUCUGUUAGCCCACUCCCGAAAGGGAGAUGGACAACGUGUUCACUUUAAUGUGUUCACGAAAUAGACAUUAAAUCAUGACUUAUACCAAAACUCAAAAAUUAAAACCAAAACUUUUAACAAUGGAUCUCUUGGCUCUUGCAACGAUGAAGAACGCAGUGAAAUGCGAAACGUAAUGCGAUUUGCAGCAUCUGUGAGUCAUCGAGUCUUUGAACGCACUUGGCACCUGGAGAUGAUCCAGGUAUACCUGUUUGAGCAGAAUAUCUAAAUUCAUCUGAGUUUCACUUUCAAGAGUGUAACUUGAAAAAAGUUUGAGUGGGACGUGCAAUCAUUGCUUGUUCUGUGUGAUCGCAAGGCCGUGGUCUUGAUUCACAGAAUACGAAAUGUUCUUGUACGGUCAAUCCUUUUCAUUACCAAAACUUUUGUAAAUUCUCUCUCAAAUCAGGCAAGAUUACCCGCUGAACUUAAGCAUAUCAAUAAGCGGAGGA